CUUUACUGUAGCCUGGAAUGGGGUUCGGGCUUUGCUUGCGCAGGAUAGGUGGGAGGCGUUGAACUUGCUCUUGUGGGAGCAAGGGAGCCAACGGUGAGAUACCACUCUGGCGAAGCUAGAAUUCUAACCCGUAGCCGUAAUCCGGCAUGGGAACAGUUUCAGGUGGGCAGUUUGACUGGGGCGGUCGCCUCCUAAAGCGUAACGGAGGCGCGCAAAGGUUCCCUCAGGCUGGUUGGAAAUCAGCCGCAGAGUGUAAAAGCACAAGGGAGCUUGACUGCAAGAGACACAGCUCGAGCAGGUAGGAAACUAGGCUUUAGUGAUCCGACGGCAGUGAAUGGAAGCGCCGUCGCUCAACGGAUAAAAGUUA
This 367-nucleotide ribosomal RNA is filed under the name uncultured organism. RNAcentral describes it as "bacterial LSU rRNA". It matches the Rfam family "Bacterial large subunit ribosomal RNA", at positions 2099 to 2465 of the family's 2925-position model. The record is from RNAcentral.